RNAcentral lists this ribosomal RNA (19 nucleotides) under Briareum sp. YM-2012-3. Its description in RNAcentral is "partial 5.8S rRNA". RNAcentral also lists the same sequence under 1 other name. The record is from RNAcentral. Lineage: Eukaryota; Metazoa; Cnidaria; Anthozoa; Scleralcyonacea; Briareidae.
GUCUGUCUGAGUGUUGGUU